UACGGAGGUGGCAAGCGUUGUUCGGAAUUAUUGGGCGUAAAGGGCGCGUAGGCGGCUUAGCAAGUCGGAUGUGAAAGCCCCGGGCUUAACUCGGGAAUUGCAUCCGAAACUGCUUUGCUUGAGUCCUGGAGGGGGUAGUGGAAUUCCCAGUGUAGCGGUGAAAUGCGUAGAUAUUGGGAGGAACACCUGCGGCGAAGGCGGCUACCUGGACAGUGACUGACGCUGAGGCGCGAAAGCUAGGGGAGCGAACG
Molecule: ribosomal RNA, 251 nt
Filed under: uncultured prokaryote
Description: partial 16S ribosomal RNA
Rfam family: Bacterial small subunit ribosomal RNA
Source: RNAcentral